CUACGGGAAUCUGCAGUGGGGAAUAUUGGACAAUGGGCGAAAGCCUGAUCCAGCCAUGCCGCGUGUGUGAAGAAGGCCUUCGGGUUGUAAAGCACUUUCAGUGGGGAAGAAAGCCUUGGGGCUAAUACCCUCGAGGAAGGACAUCACCCACAGAAGAAGCACCGGCUAACUCCGUGCCAGCAGCCGCGGUAAUACGGAGGGUGCGAGCGUUAAUCGGAAUUACUGGGCGUAAAGCGCGCGUAGGCGGUCUGAUAAGCCGGUUGUGAAAGCCCCGGGCUCAACCUGGGAACGGCAUCCGGAACUGUCAGGCUAGAGUGCAGGAGAGGAAGGUAGAAUUCCCGGUGUAGCGGUGAAAUGCGUAGAGAUCGGGAGGAAUACCAGUGGCGAAGGCGGCCUUCUGGACUGACACUGACGCUGAGGUGCGAAAGCGUGGGUAGCAAACAGGAUUAGAUACCCCUGUAGUC
This 464-nucleotide ribosomal RNA is filed under the name Vreelandella stevensii. Its description in RNAcentral is "partial 16S ribosomal RNA". It matches the Rfam family "Bacterial small subunit ribosomal RNA", at positions 339 to 795 of the family's 1533-position model. The record is from RNAcentral. Lineage: Bacteria; Pseudomonadati; Pseudomonadota; Gammaproteobacteria; Oceanospirillales; Halomonadaceae.